GAAAACAUUCAAGGGGCAGAAUAGGAUCAAUACAGAGAAAAUUAGCAUGCCCCUGCGAAAGGAUGACACGCAAAUCCGUGAAGCGCUCCAUAUUGCU
Small nuclear RNA from Danio rerio (zebrafish), 97 nucleotides. NCBI's taxonomy places the organism in Eukaryota, Metazoa, Chordata, Actinopteri, Cypriniformes, Danionidae. The record is from Ensembl.